This is a long non-coding RNA of Ochotona curzoniae (black-lipped pika), 197 nucleotides long. RefSeq lists it as uncharacterized. The transcript is spliced from 4 exons. NCBI's taxonomy places the organism in Eukaryota, Metazoa, Chordata, Mammalia, Lagomorpha, Ochotonidae. The record is from RefSeq and is a predicted model, not a curated record.
UGCUACUUCAAGCAAGGAGGACAAUAUGAAGAGGCCAUUUUAGACCUUCAGGUGGCAGGCUGGAGGAAGGCGCAGCUGUAUGCUGAUUGGCAGAAAGAAUUGUUCCAGGCCUGGUCUGUCACUCUGGAUCCAGCCUCUGCCACUACCAAUCUUGCCGUUUCUCCUGAAAGGACCUCUGUGACCUGGAAGAACAAAAA